This 253-nucleotide ribosomal RNA is filed under the name uncultured bacterium. RNAcentral describes it as "partial 16S ribosomal RNA". It matches the Rfam family "Bacterial small subunit ribosomal RNA", at positions 524 to 776 of the family's 1533-position model. The record is from RNAcentral.
UACGGGGGGGGCAAGCGUUGUUCGGAAUUACUGGGCGUAAAGGGCGCGUAGGCGGCCUUCUAAGUCGAACGUGAAAUCCCCGGGCUCAACCUGGGAACUGCGACCGAGACUGCAUUGCUAGAGUAUGGGAGAGGAAAGCGGAAUUUCUGGUGUAGCAGUGAAAUGCGUAGAUAUCAGAAGGAACAUCAGUGGCGAAGGCGGCUUUCUGGACCAAUACUGACACUCAGGUGCGAAAGCGUGGGGAGCAAACAGG